AGUACCAGUUUGUCCCAUAAAUUAGUGUUAAAGUACCAGGUUUUUCCCUAUAAAUUAGUGUUAAAGUACCAGGUUUUUCCCUAUAAAUUAGUGUUAAAGUACCAGGUUUUUCCCCACUAGGUGCCGCUGUUCCUGCUGUUACUGCCACACUCUUUUAUACAUUUUGCUGGUCUCUUGUGUUGAUUAAAUGGACCUUUUUUUGCAACUUUGGGUAGAAAACCAAUAGCUUUUGCUCCUGAUGCAAAUAAAUGGUGUGGUCAUCCUCCACAAUUCAAGCCACUCCUCCACGAAAGACAUUAAAACACACACACACAAACUGUCCAGCUCUUAGGCUCAAUCUGUGUCCAGGAAACGGCCCUACCCUGUGUGUGUAGUUGAUUCCCUUCAGACCAUCGCUGGUGAACAUAAUAAACCAUUAGGCUCCAGCGGUUCCAAUGUUAUUGUCUCUAAUGGUCUUCAGUGGUAAAAGCCCCCCAAUUACACCCUGUAUAGUCUUUUACAAUGAUCAUGAUAUUGAGGUGGGUUUUUAAUGGUAAAUGUCACUAAUCAAACAGCCUAUAUAGAUGGAUAAAACGGGGUGUCGGCAGAAACAGCUUUCACAGUAACCAAUGUGUGUGGGGGAAAAAAUUCGGAUGACUUUGAUGGCGAAUUUCUCUGAACAGUUGAAUUAUUAUUUUAUUUUUUUAAAGGAUCACCAAAUUCCCUGAGAAUAGAUUAUGAUAAAUUAAGAAUACUUCAAGCCACAGCUUCAUUAUACUUGUCGAACAUAGAGAAUUGAUACUUUAUAAUGGCCUUUGAGGUGGGCAUGGUGUGUGAUUUAGGGUGUUCGUGGGGGGGGUAUUGACCAUGUAUUUGGAUUCCUCACUUCUUAAUCAUUGCAAAGAAGAAGUUUGGUCCAAAUUGGAUGUUGGGAACUAUAUUUAUAGAAUUUUGUAAGAAUCAUAUACACUUAAAUUGCUUAAUUCCUCAGAGUUCAAAUAAUCUUUCAACAAAUAUAAUGUUUCAGGAACGCUUAAACUUCUCUGUUUCCUAACUACAGAAACGAUUUCUGAAAAAUCUGAGAUGUUGGGUGUGGAAAUCUUCUUUCUUGUGCUUUUUUUGUUGUUGUUGAGGUGGAAGGAUUAAACUGCCUUAGGACACAAAAACACUAUUGGACAAUAAAGUGACUGAGGCGUCAAGAAUCAAAGAGAGUUGGGACAAGGAAACAGGGUCUUCUUCUGAUCGCACACGAGAGGGUGAUGAUUUAGCAUGAUCCAAAGAGCUCUGACUACUGCUCUAACCCCUACUGUAGACCAAUGUCCUGUGAGACGACAGUGAGUGACUUCAUCCCUGUCCCUGUCUCGUUCCUAGUUGUCUUUGCUGACAGCAGUGUGGAUUAUACAGGUCCAGUGUUUUAAUGGAGAGAAAAAAAAAAGGGCUUCCCACCAAUGGAUGAUGACCACGAGGAGGAACUUACAUAGGAUUGGUCUGUUUCAGAUUUCCAACUUCUUCCCCCAAUCGGAGCUUCUAGGAUUGUGGGGUUGUGCAAUGCAAUAUUAUAGAGCUCUUCUUCGAGGCCUCCUUUUAGACUGACAUUUUGAGCUAUGUUGUCAUGGUUAUGUACGAGGCAGCUUCUGUUGUCAUGGUUAUGUACGAGGCAGCUUCUCACCAAGACUAUAGUCGAUUGCGCCAUCUGAGGUUAUUAAGGCAAACAGCUACUUUAAUGCAUUAUUCGACAAUCUACACAUGCCUUAUUUCGUUUGUUUGUAUGAGCAACUAAACCUGUGUAGGAUUGGAAAAUUGCAGUAACGUUCCCCCCCAAAAUUCCCCAGCUUUUCCAGAAAUUCCAGGUUGGAGGAUUCCCAGAAUCAGGAAGGGAAAUAAGCAGAAAUCACAGAAUCUUCCAACCAGGAUUUCAGGAAAACAUGGGAAUUUGGGGGGAAAGUUACCAGAAUUUUGUAAUCCUAAACCUGUGUGAAUUAUUGGAUAUGAUCUCUCUCAGGAAAAUAAUUGUUGUUUCAUCAUGAAGGGGUUCAUGCUAAUUUCAUUCUAAUGUCUAGAACACAAACAUUAAUUUGUUGUUAUGGGGUUGAAUGAAUGAUUUUUAAGAUCAUAAACAUAAUUAAAUUAUAAUAAAAGGCAUGAAAUGUUAAGGUGACUAGAGGUCGCGGGAGACGGGUGAUGAAUUCAUGGUUGUUAAACUUGAGAUGGAUCUAUUUCCUGGUUUGCUUAUUGACCAAGAGGCAGCAACUCUAGACUGUACAUAACAGAAGAUUCACCUUGUGGCCUCCUGUCUGUGUAUACAGAGGCACAAAUUGCAAUGGCUUUAAAUAGAUGGAGGUCAGAGGUUGACAUUUUUGGGACAAUAUUGGGAUACAGGUUAUGUUUAGAAUAGAGGCUAUGUUUAGGAUACAGGAUAUGUUUAGAAUAGAGGUUAUGUUUAGGAUACAAGCUAUGUUUAGAAUAGAGGCUAUGUUUAGAAUAGAGGCUAUGUUUAGGAUACAAGCUAUGUUUAGGAUACAGGUUAUGUUUAGGAUACAGGCUAUGUUUAGGAUACAGGUUAUGUUUAGGAUACAGGAUAUGUUUAGGAUACAAGCUAUGUUUAGGAUACAGGUUAUGUUUAGGAUACAGGCUAUGUUUAGAAUACAGGAUAUGUUUAGAAUACAGGCUAUGUUUAGGAUACAGGUUAUGUCCACAAUGAAUAUAAUAUGUUAUUAUGCUGGUCUAUUCGACUCGAAGGACCAAUUUAUCUGAGAGGAAACUUACAGUUGAUAUUUUCCAGUUUGAGCAGAGCCCAGGGGAGGGGCAGGUUGAGACAGGGUAUCAUCAAGCUACUGGACUGGACCAUUCUCAUGGACACUGGUGAUGCACAAUAAUCCAUU
Salvelinus sp. IW2-2015 is the source of this 2861-nucleotide non-coding RNA. The record is from RefSeq and is a predicted model, not a curated record. Lineage: Eukaryota; Metazoa; Chordata; Actinopteri; Salmoniformes; Salmonidae.